This 225-nucleotide long non-coding RNA is filed under the name Medicago truncatula (barrel medic). RNAcentral describes it as "lncRNA gene48751". The record is from RNAcentral. Lineage: Eukaryota; Viridiplantae; Streptophyta; Magnoliopsida; Fabales; Fabaceae.
UGUCACAAGCUCUGGCUGGGGACAUGGUGGAUAAUAAUUAAUCCUCAUUGAUUGAGCUGAUUCACCAAAUAACUCUCUAAUAUCUGUGGGGUCCACUUUUAGGGCAUUUACCAUAAAAUCAAUGAUUUUUAAGCUCUGCAGAAUAGAAUAGGUCUCUAAAUCAUCUCUUUAUCAUUCCACCCACACAAAAAAUAAAUAAAAUUGAAAAUAAAUAUAUUUUGGAUU